ACACAAGACCAAGCGAUGCUGGAGCAUGG
This 29-nucleotide non-coding RNA is filed under the name Homo sapiens (human). Lineage: Eukaryota; Metazoa; Chordata; Mammalia; Primates; Hominidae. The record is from RNAcentral.